UAAUACGUAGGGAGCAAGCGUUGUUCGGAUUUACUGGGCGUAAAGGGCGCGUAGGCGGCGCGGUAAGUCACUUGUGAAAUCUCUGAGCUUAACUCAGAACGGCCAAGUGAUACUGCAGUGCUAGAGUGCAGAAAGGGCAAUCGGAAUUCUUGGUGUAGCGGUGAAAUGCGUAGAUAUCAAGAGGAACACCUGAGGCGAAGGCGGGUUGCUAGGCUGACACUGACGCUGAGGCGCGAAAGCCAGGGGAGCAAACGGGAUUAGAUACCCCGGUAGUCCUGGCCCUAAACGAUGAAUACUUGGUGUCUGGAGUUUCAAUACUCCGGGUGCCGUCGCUAACGUUUUAAGUAUUCCGCCUGGGGAGUACGCUCGCAAGAGUGAAACUCAAAUGAAUUGACGG
RNAcentral lists this ribosomal RNA (397 nucleotides) under uncultured bacterium. Its description in RNAcentral is "bacterial SSU rRNA". It matches the Rfam family "Bacterial small subunit ribosomal RNA", at positions 521 to 916 of the family's 1533-position model. The record is from RNAcentral.